ACGGAGGGGGCUAGCGUUGUUCGGAAUUACUGGGCGUAAAGCGCGCGUAGGCGGAUUAGUCAGUUGGAGGUGAAAUCCCGGAGCUCAACUUCGGAAUGGCCUUCAAUACUGCUAGUCUUGAGUUCGAGAGAGGGUGGUGGAAUUCCUAGUGUAGAGGUGAAAUUCGUAGAUAUUAGGAGGAACACCAGUGGCGAAGGCGGCCACCUGGCUCGAUACUGACGCUGAGGUGCGAAAGCGUGGGGAUCAAACAGG
This 252-nucleotide ribosomal RNA is filed under the name uncultured bacterium. RNAcentral's name for it is "partial 16S ribosomal RNA". It matches the Rfam family "Bacterial small subunit ribosomal RNA", at positions 525 to 776 of the family's 1533-position model. The record is from RNAcentral.